CCUAAUUUUUUGGUAGCUCCCAUUGUUGAUCAGAUCUUUCCCGAAACUUUAGAGUUUGACUACAAGAAUCCCAAACCUAGAGCUAUGUCAUUUGACUUUCAUUUGAACCAGGACUGGAUAUUAUACAAACAGGAAUACUUUGAGUCUAUUUCAUGGUCCAAACCUUAUAGAACAGUAGGAAUACAAGGUAAUGCACUGGUAUUCAACAAGACGUUUUUCAAUAAACUUGGCGGACUAGACACCGGUAUGAAGGUCUGGGGAGGAGAACAGCAAGAACUCAUGUUUAAGUAUGUUAUGUGUGGUGGUGAUUUAGAAAUUGUACCAUGUUCUCACAUCGGUCAUGUAUACAGAAAAAGACUUAUAUGGUCUAAUGAGCUGCACAAUAAGGCUAUAAUGAAUGGAAUGUGUAACCAGUAUCGAGUAGCAGAGGUAUGGAUGGAUGAAUAUAAACAUCUGGUCUUCCACAGACUUGGUAAC
Long non-coding RNA from Mytilus californianus (California mussel), 477 nucleotides. RefSeq lists it as uncharacterized. The transcript has 3 exons. The record is from RefSeq and is a predicted model, not a curated record. Lineage: Eukaryota; Metazoa; Mollusca; Bivalvia; Mytilida; Mytilidae.